Molecule: ribosomal RNA, 274 nt
Filed under: uncultured bacterium
Lineage: Bacteria
Description: partial 16S ribosomal RNA
Rfam family: Bacterial small subunit ribosomal RNA
Source: RNAcentral
AUACGGAGGGUGCAAGCGUUAAUCGGAAUUACUGGGCAUAAAGCGUACGUAGGCGGUUCGUUAAGUUAGAUGGGAAAGCCCCGGGCUUAACCUGGGAACUGCAUUUAAAACUGGCGGACUAGAGUUGAGUAGAGGGGAGUGGAAUUUCAGGUGUAGCGGUGAAAUGCGUAGAGAUCUGAAGGAACACCAGUGGCGAAGGCGACUCCCUGGACUCGAACUGACGCUGAGGUACGAAAGCGUGGGUAGCAAACGGGAUUAGAAACCCCGGUAGUCC